Long non-coding RNA from Magnolia sinica, 1290 nucleotides. RefSeq lists it as uncharacterized. The transcript has 2 exons. The record is from RefSeq and is a predicted model, not a curated record. Lineage: Eukaryota; Viridiplantae; Streptophyta; Magnoliopsida; Magnoliales; Magnoliaceae.
UGAACAUAUUUAUUCCAAUUAUAUGGACUCAAAGCAGUGGUUACAAGAUAUGGAUGUGCUUGAGAUGAUUCUGAAUAAGUUCAGCUCCUCAGUAAGUGUAUCAUGACUUAUGAGCAACAAUCUUUGAUCUGAUUAAAGUUUAACCUCCUGGAAUUGAAUAUAUAUAUUUUUUAAAGUCUGCUACUUCUGCAAAAGUCUAGGGCGUACAUCAUACGAGUCCUAUGAUGUCAUAAUCUGACGUGUGAGAUUUGAGCUUCCUAUAAUGUGACUGUUUAGAUCUUAUUAAAUAAAACAUCAUGCUAUUCAACAUCUCAUGAAGAAAAUCAUUAACGGCCAAUCUAUACUUUAUACGCUAUACCCACAUGAAGAGAGAAAUCAUCUUAUCUUUUAGGCAAAAUAUCCAUUUCUAACCUUAUAGAAAGCUCAGAUUUCACACAUGUUUUGUAUGCUCGUGUGUGGAUAUUUAGGGCCCUUAAGCAUGUGGAGUUAGCAAACCUCCAAUAUAAAAAUAUAAAAUUACAAUAUAUGAAAUGACAUGGGUCAUGGCCACUGUCUCCCAUACACAAAAACUUGUAGAAACUGCAACAGUGAUGGGCUAUAAAAAUCACAAAGCGAAAUUGGAUUUCCCACACUAAUCUUGCUUUUCCUAAUCUCAGAUCAGUUUGAGAAAAGCCAAAGAAAUCAAGGGAUUUUCUUAUCUCUCUUUUUUUUUCAUCAUUUUCAUUGAUUUCUCUAGCCAUAGUUGUAAUGGGGAGGUCUCCUUGUUGUGAAGAACAUGGUGUGAAGAAGGAUCCAUGGACCUCAGAAGAAGAUCAAAGGCUUGUGGACUACAUUGAGAAGCAUGAUCAUGGAAGUUGGAGAGCUCUCCCGAAGCUCACGGACCUGAAGAGGUGUGGAAAAUUCUCCAGUGAAGAAGAGCGGAUCAUUGUCAACCUUCAUUCGGUUCUUGGAAAUAAUUUUUAGGCAUGGAUGAAUGGGAGCUAUAGAUUAAUGGAUUUUAUUUAUUUAUUUAUUUAUUUUUUGAAACUAAAUUCGAUUUAUUAUUGUAAAUAUUAUUCGCAGCAGCUCGAUGCAUGUGAAAGGGCCACAUAGGCAUGUAUUUUAUUUUACUUUUUAUAGGAAAACAAUCACUAGGCACUAUCGACUUCCUGAGAGGAAUGUGAAAUCAAGUGGGCCUUGACCAAAAGUCAUCAGGUGGGCCUUGACCAAAAGGGUCAAUGAUAAGGUCCAUCAAUUUAUGAGUUGGAGAGGCAGAACUCAAAAAAUGGGACUCACUAUGAGUCGGGCAUC